This 184-nucleotide ribosomal RNA is filed under the name Cortinarius anisatus. RNAcentral describes it as "partial 28S ribosomal RNA". It matches the Rfam family "Eukaryotic large subunit ribosomal RNA", at positions 1 to 178 of the family's 3401-position model. Lineage: Eukaryota; Fungi; Basidiomycota; Agaricomycetes; Agaricales; Cortinariaceae. The record is from RNAcentral.
AUGUGACCUCAAAUCAGGUAGGACUACCCGCUGAACUUAAGCAUAUCAAUAAGCGGAGGAAAAGAAACUAACAAGGAUUCCCCUAGUAACUGCGAGUGAAGCGGGAAAAGCUCAAAUUUAAAAUCUGGCAGUCUUUUGGCUGUCCGAGUUGUAAUCUAGAGAAGUGCUAUCCGCGCUGGACCGU